AUAAGGUUAAGUUAAUAAGGGCGCACGGUGGAUGCCUUGGCACUAGGAGCCGAUGAAGGACGGGACUAACACCGAUAUGCUUUGGGGAGCUGUACGUAAGCUAUGAUCCAGAGAUUUCCGAAUGGGGGAACCCAGCAUCUUUAAUAGGAUGUUACGAUUGUGUGAAUACAUAGCACAUUCGAGGUAGACGCAGAGAACUGAAACAUCUAAGUACCUGCAGGAAGAGAAAGAAAAAUCGAUUCCCUGAGUAGCGGCGAGCGAAACGGGAAAAGCCCAAACCAACAAGCUUGCUUGUUGGGGUUGUAGGACUCCAAUAUGGUCGUUCUUUCAGAUAGUCGAAUGACUUGGAAAAGUCAGUCAAAGAGGGUAAAAACCCCGUAGACGAAAUGUGGAAGACACCUAGGAGGAUCCUGAGUACGGCGGAACACGAGAAAUUCCGUCGGAAUCCGGGAGGACCAUCUCCCAAGGCUAAAUACUCCCUAGUGACCGAUAGUGAACCAGUACCGUGAGGGAAAGGUGAAAAGCACCCCGGGAGGGGAGUGAAAUAGAACCUGAAACCGUGUGCCUACAACAAGUUCGAGCCCGUUAAUGGGUGAGAGCGUGCCUUUUGUAGAAUGAACCGGCGAGUUACGAUAUGAUGCGAGGUUAAGUUGAAGAGACGGAGCCGUAGGGAAACCGAGUCUUAAUAGGGCGACUAGUUGCAUGCUGUAGACCCGAAACCGGGUGACCUAUCCAUGG
RNAcentral lists this ribosomal RNA (738 nucleotides) under Mediterraneibacter torques. Its description in RNAcentral is "[Ruminococcus] torques partial 23S ribosomal RNA". It matches the Rfam family "Bacterial large subunit ribosomal RNA", at positions 1 to 739 of the family's 2925-position model. Lineage: Bacteria; Bacillati; Bacillota; Clostridia; Lachnospirales; Lachnospiraceae. The record is from RNAcentral.